AGAGUUUGAUCCUGGCUCAGAUUGAACGCUGGCGGCAUGCCUAACACAUGCAAGUCGAACGGAAACGAUGGGAGCUUGCUCCCAGGCGUCGAGUGGCGGACGGGUGAGUAAUGCUUAGGAAUCUGCCUUGAAGUGGGGGAUAGCCCGGAGAAAUCCGGAUUAAUACCGCAUGUGCUCUACGGAGCAAAGCGGGCCUCUGAUUCAAGCUCGCGCUUUGAGAUAAGCCUAUGUCGGAUUAGCUAGUUGGUAGGGUAAAGGCCUACCAAGGCGACAAUCCGUAGCUGGUCUGAGAGGACGAUCAGCCACACUGGGACUGAGACACGGCCCAGACUCCUACGGGAGGCAGCAGUGGGGAAUAUUGGACAAUGGGGGCAACCCUGAUCCAGCAAUACCGCGUGUGUGAAGAAGGCCUGCGGGUUGUAAAGCACUUUCAGUAGAGAAGAAAAGCCCAUGGUUAAUACCCGUGGUCUUGACGUAACCUACAGAAGAAGCACCGCUAACU
Molecule: ribosomal RNA, 502 nt
Filed under: uncultured bacterium
Lineage: Bacteria
Description: bacterial SSU rRNA
Rfam family: Bacterial small subunit ribosomal RNA
Source: RNAcentral